Molecule: ribosomal RNA, 120 nt
Filed under: Phonochorion satunini
Lineage: Eukaryota; Metazoa; Arthropoda; Insecta; Orthoptera; Tettigoniidae
Also listed under: 2 other names
Description: partial 5.8S ribosomal RNA
Rfam family: 5.8S ribosomal RNA
About the family: 5.8S ribosomal RNA (5.8S rRNA) is a component of the large subunit of the eukaryotic ribosome. It is transcribed by RNA polymerase I as part of the 45S precursor that also contains 18S and 28S rRNA.
Source: RNAcentral
CAGCAAAUUGCGCGUCGACAUGUGAACUGCAGGACACAUGAACAUCGACAUUUCGAACGCACAUUGCGGUCCAUGGAUUCCGUUCCCGGACCACGCCUGGCUGAGGGUCGGUAGCUAAAA